This is a long non-coding RNA of Capra hircus (goat), 2071 nucleotides long. The record is from Ensembl. Lineage: Eukaryota; Metazoa; Chordata; Mammalia; Artiodactyla; Bovidae.
GCUCCUAAUACAUAUGAUGAGUCAAGUAGGAUGGGAGAACCGGAAUUUAAUCUAGGGCUGGGGUGUCAGAGCGCCUCAGAGGGCACCUCUGUCCUGAGUCUUAGGGGUGAGCAGGAGUUUUCCGCCAGAAAGGAAGGCAACAGGAAGGUAGAGGCAUGGAGCGGAGAAGGGGCACAUCGCAGGGCAGAAGGGAAGGCUGCGAAGCAGACGGGGGAGGCGGAUGUGGAGGACACCGACAAGCGGGCUGGGGUCAGACUGGGAGGGCUUCACGGCCCACAGGACGAGCAGGUGGCAGGGAGCCACAGGGGAGGUUUCUGCGGAGAGGAAUAACAGAACCUGGCUUGUUUUGUUUUUAGGACUACCCUGGAGACAGUGAAGACACUGGCUGGAGAUUGGAAGGGAUUUCCAGCACAGAGAGCAGUCUGACUGAUGGAACCAGCUCAGCUGAGGUCCUCUUUGGGAACUGCUGCUAAGACAGCAGACUCAGCAUCACAAGCAUGAUCACUGCUAUCAGAGAAGGCUAAGACGGUGGUCAAAUGCAGCUGCCUGUUCCUCAAAUGGUCCUAAAUGCUUUGGAAAUCAAGGCAGGAAGACAGAAGUUUGGACAUUGCUUCCUUUCAUUCCUCAGUCACCGAGAUGAGGCUGGGAAGAAGGUGUGAGGGCGCUGCUAAGGAGACUCAGGGGAACAGGAGUCCACAGAGGGAGGAGCUUCAUGCUGCCUGCUGGCUGGUCCUGACCCCACAGCCUAAGCCUUUGACUCAGCACCAGGGCCUCGCCAUCUUCAUCACCCACAACACUGUGUUUCAAGCUUUCAAAUCUCUCUUCUCUGUUCUUCUCUGUUAUUUGCUGUUGAAAAAAACUGUAAUCAUGGCUGGUAAACAUAGUGUUAGUGAAAAACCACAUCAAAAGGAAGGAAAAAUUUGCAAGUUUCAAGUGAUGUUAGGCAUACUUGAGAAUCAGAACCAUGCACAUGAAAAGACCCUGAAGUAGGACAUCCCUUGAGAAAUAUUAGAAGUUUCCAUCUACCUCUCUCUCUCCUCAAAUCAGAAGUUUUCUUUUAAAAAGGGAACCCUCCUACACUGUUGGUAGGAAUGUCAAUUGAUGCAGCCACUAUGGAAAACGAUAUGAUGGAGUUUCCUCAAAAAACUAAAAAUAGAGCUACCAUAUGACCCAGCAAUUCUACUCCUGGGUAUAUAGCCAGACAAAAUAUUAAUUCAAAAAGAUACAAGCACCCAUAUGUUCAUAGCAGCACUAUUUACAAUAGUCAUCACAUAGAAACAAUCUAUAUGUUCAAUGACAAAUGAAUGGAUAAAGAUGUGGUGUGUGUAUAUAUAUAUAUAUACACACACAAUGGAAUAUUACUCAGCCAUAAAAAGAAUGAAAUGCCAUCUGCAACAAAAUGGAUAGAACUACAGCUUAUCAUAAGUGAAGUAAGUCAAAAGGAGAAAUGCAAGUGCCAUCUGAUAUCAUUUCUAUGUGGAAUUUAAAAUAUGGCACAAAUGAACUUACCUACAAAACAGAAACAGAUUCACAGACACAGAGAACAAACGUGUGGUUGCCAAGAAGGUGGAGAGGUGGGGGAGAGACGGACUGGGAGUUUGGGAUUAGCAGAUGGAAGCUACUAUAUACAGGAUGGAUAAACAACAAGGUCCUACUGCCCAGCACAGGGAGCUACAUUCACUGUCCUGUGAUAAAUCAUCACGGAAAAAAUGAAAAAUAAUGUAUAUAUAACUGAACCACUUGGCUGCACAGUAGAUAUUAACACAACAUUGUAAAUCAACUAUACUUCAAUAAAACAAACUCAAAAAAUUAAACCUGUUGCUCAGUAAAAAAUUCAUUGUAAAAAGAACACUUCUAUUGAAUAACAUGUUCUCUUUCUUAGUAGUCUCCCUUGAAAUAUUAUACUUGUGAUAUAAUUUUUACUUUGGAUUUUAAUUAUCUGUGAAUCCAUUCUAUUUUCUUUAUUAAAUCAUAAAUUCUUAGAGGGAAGGAUCAAUGUCAGGUUGGUGUGUGCAAUAUUCACCGUGCACAGUAGGCAUUCAAACACUGAAUAAAAGAAUGGAUGUUUUAU